ACCUCUUGGGCUUCAACAAUCUUCCCACGAUUCAAUGAAUUUAAUUCAUCCUCACCUGGACACUCCUAAGAUCAAACAAGUUUGCAUCGUCUCUUCUCUUCCACCUUCUCAAGUUCCACCUUAUCAUCCACCUCUUUAGCUUCAACUAUCUCCCUAUAAAAUGUCUUCAACAAGCUUUCCUCACAUAGGCACUCUCAAAUCAAAGUACGCACGCAACAGAGAAACACAAUUCUACCAACCCUCCACACCACUUGUGCCAAUUUUCACAUCAAGACAAGUCCUACUUAUCAUCCUCUACAUUACUAAUCAAAAACAUGGACGGAUAAUUUGCUUGCAGUUCUAGAGAAUGUGUAUUUUCAUGACCAUCAUCUGCCAUGAUUUUAGAAGUCAUUGUUGAUCCAUCUACAGCAAGUUUGCAACGUUAGAAUGUCACUCAAAUCAUUUUAACUCUUCUUCUCCCAAUUUUCAAUUUUUCACCGAUAUCUUCUUCUCCCCCCAAACCACUGAUGAGUUGCAUUCGUCUCAUAUUUUUAUUUUUUUAAUUCACCUACCCAAGAUAGACAAUCUAAGGACUUCAUCACAUUUUUUGUAACACAUACCUCAAAGGUUUACAACAUUAUUUUUUUUCAUUAUGUAAUACAUAAUUUGGUCUCUUCAUUUCUCAUAAAUGCAUACGGUUGUGAUUCUCAGA
Molecule: long non-coding RNA, 691 nt
Organism: Lotus japonicus
Lineage: Eukaryota; Viridiplantae; Streptophyta; Magnoliopsida; Fabales; Fabaceae
Exons: 3
Source: RefSeq, a predicted model, not a curated record